GACUUCGUGGUGUAGUGGUCUGCAUGCCUCGACGUGUAAACGAGAGGUCCGUGGUUCGAUUCCCGGCGAAGGCG
RNAcentral lists this transfer RNA (74 nucleotides) under Stegodyphus mimosarum. It matches the Rfam family "tRNA". From Rfam's summary of the family: Transfer RNA (tRNA) molecules are approximately 80 nucleotides in length. Their secondary structure includes four short double-helical elements and three loops (D, anti-codon, and T loops). Lineage: Eukaryota; Metazoa; Arthropoda; Arachnida; Araneae; Eresidae. The record is from Rfam by way of RNAcentral.